GACCCCAGGUCAGGCGGGGCCACC
Molecule: ribosomal RNA, 24 nt
Filed under: Punica granatum (pomegranate)
Lineage: Eukaryota; Viridiplantae; Streptophyta; Magnoliopsida; Myrtales; Lythraceae
Description: partial 28S ribosomal RNA
Source: RNAcentral